CAGUAGCCACGGGAACACGUAGGGUGCGAGCGUUAAUCGGAAUUACUGGGCGUAAAGCGUGCGCAGGCGGUUAUAUAAGACAGAUGUGAAAUCCCCGGGCUCAACCUGGGAACUGCAUUUGAGACUGUAUGGCUAGAGUGUGUCAGAGGGGGGUAGAAUUCCACGUGUAGCAGUGAAAUGCGUAGAUAUGUGGAGGAAUACCGAUGGCGAAGGCAGCCCCCUGGGAUAACACUGACGCUCAUGCACGAAAGCGUGGGGAGCAAACAGGAUUAGAUACCCGCGUAGUCCCUGUCUCUUAUAC
RNAcentral lists this ribosomal RNA (301 nucleotides) under uncultured bacterium. RNAcentral describes it as "partial 16S ribosomal RNA". It matches the Rfam family "Bacterial small subunit ribosomal RNA", at positions 509 to 807 of the family's 1533-position model. The record is from RNAcentral.